CAAGUUGGUCUCUAUGGCUAACCAAAGAAAAUCCAUUACUUGUUUAUGUUUAUUAUGUCGAGAACACCUGAUCAAACCAGCUGUGGAACAGUGAUUCACCAUUUAAAGACAGAUGGCAGAGAUCCUCUGGACACAAAGGAAACAGGCACAGGACCGGAAUAACCAAGACCCUGCAGAAAAAUCAGUACAUGCUGUUUUCCAGGACUUACUCAAGCCAUGGGUGGGUGAGUGCACCUCUGACAUUGAACUUUCUAUCAAAAAGCAAAAAGUGAUUUCAUCUUUAUCAGGUGAAACCUGCACCAUUUGCAUAAACAGUCACUACUCUUUUUUAUUAAAUUAGUGUACUUUGUUUAAAACCUUAUAUUAUUAUUAUCUAUUCAUUCAUUUGCCUUUACUGAUUAUCCUUAUCAGGUAUGUGGUGGAUCCCUGGAACAGUGGACAUGAGCUUGAACAAUUCAUCCCAGAUGGGAAAAGAACAGAAUACACCAAUGAUUUUUUUGUGCAGAUCAAUUUCUCGUCAUUUGAUUACAUUGUAUCAUAUUUGCAUCUACAAUCUGUGGAAUAAAACAAAGCAGAAAUGUU
This is a long non-coding RNA of Silurus meridionalis, 582 nucleotides long. RefSeq lists it as uncharacterized. NCBI's taxonomy places the organism in Eukaryota, Metazoa, Chordata, Actinopteri, Siluriformes, Siluridae. The record is from RefSeq and is a predicted model, not a curated record. The transcript is spliced from 3 exons.